Gracilinanus agilis (Agile Gracile Mouse Opossum) is the source of this 999-nucleotide long non-coding RNA. RefSeq lists it as uncharacterized. The transcript has 7 exons. Lineage: Eukaryota; Metazoa; Chordata; Mammalia; Didelphimorphia; Didelphidae. The record is from RefSeq and is a predicted model, not a curated record.
GCAGGGCUAGGUACUUUUAAACACCUGUAGAAGAGAAACCACAGAAGGCGAGGACAUGAGCUGAUUAUGUUUAUCAGAAAUCCACUGUAUGAGAGAAAACACCCUUUCCUGGGAAGAGGAGAAGGAGGAGGAGGAGGAGGAAAAGAAGGAAGAAAAGGAGAAAGAGGAGAAGGAAGAAGACUUAGAACAUCCUAAUUUGGAUGGGGAAGACUGCACACCGAGGGAUGAAGGCAGAGGGGCUGGUCUUCGCUGUUGCUUUAAUGUCUCAGUGUAGUCCACCAGUGGUCCAGACGUAUUGGAAGACACUUUGGCUGUGGGGAAGAUACUCUGGACUGAUUGAACGAUGUCUUGACUCCUAUAAUGACUAUAUCGAGAGCAGAAUGGCUUCAGGGGAUACAUUCAGCCAAACCCCCCAAAAGACUUCCCUGGGGUGAAACAAAUGCCUUUGAGAUUUAACUCAGGAGGAAUGGGUGCUUCAUUAGGUGUUGGGAAAAAAAUCUACCAACAGCCACCAAGGACUGGAUCCCCUGGAACAACAUACAGUUGGCAGCAAAAUUUUGCCACAGAUCCAGUUGACAGAGAAAGUACAUUCCGCAGCAGGAAAAUAUAAAUUGUGUGUGAAAUCAGCUAAAGAACAUUUUGGAUAUCAUUCAGCAGAUUAUUCCUUGCCCUCUUCCAUUUUACUACAAGUUGACAGCUAAAGAGCAGUCUUAGAGCAUGAAGGCGGCUCAGUGCCAUUUUCUUGGGGCCACCAACCGAGAGUUAAGCUACCUAACGUUUCGAAAGCCCAGCCCAUUUCACUCACAGCAGGCAUGGCAGUGGGUGACGGAUCGCAUCCCGCCAGCUGGCUAAUAUCGUAAUUAACAAAGUUGCAACCACAUCGGAGAAGUUUAAUCGAAAAAUUUGCCGGCAGUAUGAUGGCAUUGUCACAGAGAUCACAAGCUAGGCAGAUGAGACUUUCAUUCUGGGAGAAGGCAAGCUGAGGACGUCUGAACUUGG